AACAAACGCCGAACGGACAGAGUUUCCCCUAUCCGCCCAAGGCUCAUCACAUGUACAUUUUCAAAUAAGAAGUGCACUAGCGGAAACAUACACAAACGGCUUACACGAGGGUAAGCAAUAGCCAUUAGUGAAAGAAAAAGAAAACUAAACAUUCACAAGUAAUAUGAUUCAUUUUAGAUCAUAUACAUUGUAUCUAUCCAACUUGUACAUCCAAAAUCUUUACAUUCUUUCAUCAUUUCUUUUACAUCACAUUUACCUCAAAAUGAACAUUACAUUCUUUUCUUUACUUUGCUUUAUACAUCAACAUCUUAAAUCAUCAGAUACAAAGAUGAUAAAAGGGGUAAACUACUAACAAAAUGUGACCCAACUCCGGUGGCCUCUGACUACGGUGCGAUACCUUUACCGCGGUCGCUCGCCGGCUCGCUCGGUCCCGGCUCUGUGGAAAUAGUGGGGUGAGAACUACAACAAAGUUCCCAGUGGGUUCGGCCUCAACAUCACCGACUUUCCCACUAGGACUAACUCAGGCAUAAUAGAA
RNAcentral lists this long non-coding RNA (535 nucleotides) under Ananas comosus (pineapple). RNAcentral describes it as "long non-coding RNA (ACOM_LNC042934)". Lineage: Eukaryota; Viridiplantae; Streptophyta; Magnoliopsida; Poales; Bromeliaceae. The record is from RNAcentral.